GAUGAACGCUGGCGGCGUGCCUAAUACAUGCAAGUCGAGCGAACAGACGAGGAGCUUGCUCCUCUGACGUUAGCGGCGGACGGGUGAGUAACACGUGGAUCACCUACCUAUAAGACUGGGAUAACUUCGGGAAACCGGAGCUAAUACCGGAUAAUAUAUUGAACCGCAUGGUUCAAUAGUGAAAGACGGUUUUGCUGUCACUUAUAGAUGGAUCCGCGCCGCAUUAGCUAGUUGGUAAGGUAACGGCUUACCAAGGCAACGAUGCGUAGCCGACCUGAGAGGGUGAUCGGCCACACUGGAACUGAGACACGGUCCAGACUCCUACGGGAGGCAGCAGUAGGGAAUCUUCCGCAAUGGGCGAAAGCCUGACGGAGCAACGCCGCGUGAGUGAUGAAGGUCUUCGGAUCGUAAAACUCUGUUAUUAGGGAAGAACAAAUGUGUAAGUAACUAUGCACGUCUUGACGGUACCUAAUCAGAAAGCCACGGCUAACUACGUG
This 497-nucleotide ribosomal RNA is filed under the name uncultured bacterium. RNAcentral's name for it is "partial 16S ribosomal RNA". It matches the Rfam family "Bacterial small subunit ribosomal RNA", at positions 28 to 507 of the family's 1533-position model. The record is from RNAcentral.